CCUACGGGAGGCAGCAGUGAGGAAUAUUGGUCAAUGGACGCGAGUCUGAACCAGCCAAGUAGCGUGAGGGAAGACUGCCCUAUGGAUUGUAAACUUCUUUUGUCAGGGAGUAAAACGAGGCACGUGUGCCUUUUUGCGUGUACUUUAUGAAUAAGGAUCGGCUAACUCCGUGCCAGCAGCCGCGGUAAUACGGAGGAUACGAGCGUUAUCCGGAUUUAUUGGGUUUAAAGGGAGCGUAGAUCGGUAGUUAAGUCAGUGGUGAAAGUUGGCGGCCUAACCGUUAAAGUGCAAUUGAGACUGGCAGUCUUGAGUACAGUUGAGGUAGGCGGAAUGCGUGGUGUAGCGGUGAAAUGCUUAGAUAUCACGAAGAACCCCGAUUGUGAAGGCAGCUUACCAAACUGUGACUGACAUUGAUGCUCGAAAGUGUGGGUAUCAAACAGGAUUAGAUACCCGGGUAGUC
Molecule: ribosomal RNA, 460 nt
Filed under: uncultured bacterium
Lineage: Bacteria
Description: partial 16S ribosomal RNA
Rfam family: Bacterial small subunit ribosomal RNA
Source: RNAcentral